CAUGAUACAAUCCUUCUAUCAUGAGUUUUGAUUAGACAGAGGUUAUAGAAUUACUCAUCAAACCUUAUUAUCUAUCACAUAUUUAAUUUAUUCAACUCGAGUUUCUAAUGUGAAAAUGAUAGAAAUUUUUUUUCACUAUUUACACUGUCCUGGCUAAGAUCUUCUGAACUCAGUCUCAAAAAUCACAUAAGACCAAUUUACUUAUCUACCAAGGGUGAUAAAUUCUAUAUAGGUGCACACUCUAUUCCUAUAAUGAACCUACUGC
Molecule: long non-coding RNA, 265 nt
Filed under: Elaeis guineensis (African oil palm)
Lineage: Eukaryota; Viridiplantae; Streptophyta; Magnoliopsida; Arecales; Arecaceae
Description: long non-coding RNA (EGUI_LNC065534)
Source: RNAcentral